This 67-nucleotide transfer RNA is filed under the name Roxasellana stellata. Its description in RNAcentral is "tRNA-Pro". Lineage: Eukaryota; Metazoa; Arthropoda; Insecta; Hemiptera; Cicadellidae. The record is from RNAcentral.
CAACAAGUAUUUUAAAUUAAAAUAUUAAUUUUGGGUAUUAAUGAUAUGGGUAUAUCCAUUUUGUUGA